UUCGUGUGUGUUCUAGAUCGAUCAGGAGACUCCCAUGGAGUCUCAAACCCUAAACAUGAAAGAUCAUCAAAUUGGAAGGCUAAAUGAUGCUUAAACUCAUAACCGAGCAUGGAUUAAUGAUCACCAACACGAGGGGAUCAUAAGAAUGAUGUAUUAUGAAUCACGUCGAGACGGGCGCAAGCAUGAGAUGUUAACGGGUCAAUAAGAGGCAAGGAAUCGGAUGCGAGCACGGACGCA
Molecule: long non-coding RNA, 237 nt
Filed under: Helianthus annuus (common sunflower)
Lineage: Eukaryota; Viridiplantae; Streptophyta; Magnoliopsida; Asterales; Asteraceae
Description: sRNA HanXRQr2_Chr14g0639981
Source: RNAcentral